AUACGUAGGGUGCGAGCGUUGUCCGGAAUUACUGGGCGUAAAGAGCUCGUAGGUGGUUUGUCGCGUCGUCUGUGAAAUCCCGGGGCUUAACUCCGGGCGUGCAGGCGAUACGGGCAUAACUUGAGUGCUGUAGGGGAGACUGGAAUUCCUGGUGUAGCGGUGAAAUGCGCAGAUAUCAGGAGGAACACCAAUGGCGAAGGCAGGUCUCUGGGCAGUAACUGACGCUGAGGAGCGAAAGCAUGGGUAGC
Molecule: ribosomal RNA, 248 nt
Filed under: uncultured bacterium
Lineage: Bacteria
Description: partial 16S ribosomal RNA
Rfam family: Bacterial small subunit ribosomal RNA
Source: RNAcentral